ACUUCUGAAGACGCGUUCCUCUUCUUUCCACAUGAACGGCGCCGCUCUUCCACCUCUCUUCUCCGGUCAACAAAAUCAAACCGUCGUCGCCAACUAAACCUCUCGGCGUCCACUUCUCACCGAUUCGUCUCUCCGAAUCUCAACUCAGUUUUCAAUCUUAAUCAUCUCUCACGAACAAUACACAGCGGCGGCCGGAAAGAAUCUCUCUCCGGACAUACCCUCACCCUCUCUCAUCUCGUUCUCUCUCGAUUAUGUUAUUGUUGUUAUUGCGUUGAUGUUCCUGAUUCUUUUUCGGUGGUGAAGAUUUUUGGAGACGCUUAAAUGGAGAAGAAAAUACCAGAGGCUACUCCGAACAGGGCUGUUCGGUAUAUGCAGUUAGUUUAGAUACCGAGCUUGGUGAGUUUUCCUAUGUUUUGAAGCAUGACUCAGAGGUAGGACCAUGGAAGGCGAGACUCGAAGACAGGCGAGCAAAGUGAAACCGAAGGAGACUUGGUAAAGGAAGAUGAAGAAAAUUUAAUGUGUAUUCUGCACUGUGUAAUUUUGUACCGAAUGUAACAUGGCCCUUUUUUAUGUACAUGGCAAUAAUAGUUGAAAUUUGAAUGAGUGUAUGAUUAUACCAGAAUAUGGAUCUGCAUAUGUUUGUAAUUUCCUUUGUAAUCUCCCCGGCUUGUAUCAUAACUUGUACCAAAUUUGAAUGAAAUAGA
Vicia villosa (hairy vetch) is the source of this 704-nucleotide long non-coding RNA. RefSeq lists it as uncharacterized. The transcript is spliced from 3 exons. NCBI's taxonomy places the organism in Eukaryota, Viridiplantae, Streptophyta, Magnoliopsida, Fabales, Fabaceae. The record is from RefSeq and is a predicted model, not a curated record.